Molecule: ribosomal RNA, 185 nt
Filed under: uncultured bacterium
Lineage: Bacteria
Description: partial 16S ribosomal RNA
Rfam family: Bacterial small subunit ribosomal RNA
Source: RNAcentral
UAGGGAAUUUUCGUCAAUGGGCGCAAGCCUGAACGAGCAAUGCCGCGUGAACGAGGAAGGUCUUCGGAUCGUAAAGUUCUGUUGAAGGGGAAAAAGAGCGGAGAGAGGAAAUGGUCUCCGAUUGAUAUUACCCUUCGAGGAAGUCACGGCUAACUACGUGCCAGCAGCCGCUGUAAUCUCUCUCU